RNAcentral lists this long non-coding RNA (418 nucleotides) under Androctonus crassicauda. Lineage: Eukaryota; Metazoa; Arthropoda; Arachnida; Scorpiones; Buthidae. The record is from RNAcentral.
UAUUGUUGUACACAUUCAUAUGUAGUAGUUUAUUGUGCUGGAUGAUGAAUCAACUAAUGGUAUCUUGUAUAUUCCAUGCUCUCUGCAUUGUAUCUGAAUUCAAGCUCUAUGUUGAAAGUAAGUCAGUUAAAAGAAUGACUCCGUAACCAUUAUGGUACCAAGCAAAAAAAAUGUAAAAAAGUUUAAGUUGUUGAUUAAGAUCCAGUCACUUGACUGGCCUAAGGAUCAUACUUCUCCACCAAGGUUAAUAUCCAUAUUCUUCAGGACUAUGUUUUUUUGCAAAGAUUCUUUGAAAUACAGUCUGAACUUUGUCAUAGAUGACCACUACAGUCUAGCCAAUGCAGUUUAUGAAAUAAAAAAAACAUCUCCACUGCUUUUACUUUCACUGAUGUUGAAAUCAAGAAAUGAGGUCGAUGGC